RNAcentral lists this long non-coding RNA (834 nucleotides) under Equus asinus (donkey). RNAcentral's name for it is "lncRNA (ENSEASG00005032491.1)". Lineage: Eukaryota; Metazoa; Chordata; Mammalia; Perissodactyla; Equidae. The record is from RNAcentral.
CCUUGUCCUUCAGAUCUCUGCUGCGUCUGUUCUGGCUUCAUCAGAAACAUUCGCUGGCCUCUCUGACGAGGUCGAAUCGCACCGUUAGACGCAUGCGCACCAGAACCUCUCCAUGGAGACCCCUCACCAGCGGAAUUCUGCGCUUGUCUAUUGAACAGAUCUGUGCCUCACCAGAGAUGAGUUCAAUGACGCCAUCAUGGAGGGGUUUUAUCUGUUUCUAUUAGGCCUAGAUGCCUAAUUCAUAUUUGUUAAAGGAAAGUGGUGGCCAGGGAAGUAGGGAAGGGAAGAAUUUCUAAUACUUUUCUACAGUUGAAAUAGCAAGAACCUAAAUGGCUUGCCCAAGGACAUAGAGUUAGUGACACAGCAGAAAGUUGGACUCAAGUUUCCAAGGGACUGAGCUCGUCACGGUGCACUUCCUUCAACUUGCUGUGACACUUAUUUCACCGUGAUUCCCCGCCGAGGGUGCGGUGUGACAUCAGAUACUACCGACCUCCCAGAGAAGAGAGCAGGCAACGCACUCAGCACCGUGACUGGCACACAGUAAAUGGUCAGUGGACAGCAGUGUGUGCGUGCGUGCACGUGUGAAUGUGUGGCCCUCCUGAGACUUGACUUUUCUGUACUGUGUUUUCUCUCCACAAAUCAACUUGAGAACCACAAGAUAUAUCAUUUCUAUCUUCUCAAGCAUCCUGGUUUCUUAUUCCCCCCUUCCUUUUGAUUUUGGUUCUAAUCUCUUCUUUUAGGUUAGAAUGUUAGAAUGGUUAAAAAUGAAUCAUUUUUUUCAAAGCCUUGGCAGCUUUCAUUUCCUCAGUUCAUUUCAAAUGAUUUAUGAUACAA